UUAACCGCACCCAACGAGGGUGUCUUUUAUUUCGUAGUUGUUAGUAUAAUACCGAGCAUCAUGUAUGGUGGUCGUGAAUCCUGAUGGAAACAUUUUUUUGUAGUAAGUACACAAGUAUCGGACUAUUGGAGACCAGAAUACAGGCGUCGUAUACAUUCCAAAACCAGUGAUCCUUAUAACGUUAUACUACUCAAAGUAAUGAUGUCGAUUCUGGAAGAAAUGGAUUUUUACUGAUAGAACAAAAUCUUUUAAGAGAGAAACAUUGAAAAUACCGUUAUAAAUAAUGUAGAAGCACCAAGUUGGUCAAGUAGAAAAAUUAAAUUUAUAUUCAAACAGUUAUUGAAACAGAUGUUGUACCAGUGUUAAACAAUUACUAAGGAUUUGGGACAUUAUUCUUCUUUACCUGGCUACAUAACUGAUGCUGAUGAAGAGGAGGUUGAACCACCAUUUUUCCGCCACCAAUAAAAUGUGUAAUUGAAGAAGUAAAACCAAUAGCGCCAUAUUCUAUGCCGGUACUAAUUAAAGCUGUGUGUUUGGCCUCCAAUGAUAUUCAUGUAUUGAGCAUAAUAUGAAUGUCAAUUCAAAAGCAUAAUAUGUUAUAAUGCUGAUGUACAGGUGUAAAAAAAAAAAAUUAAGAAUGUACUAG
Acyrthosiphon pisum (pea aphid) is the source of this 646-nucleotide long non-coding RNA. RefSeq lists it as uncharacterized. Lineage: Eukaryota; Metazoa; Arthropoda; Insecta; Hemiptera; Aphididae. The transcript is spliced from 5 exons. The record is from RefSeq and is a predicted model, not a curated record.